Molecule: ribosomal RNA, 247 nt
Filed under: uncultured bacterium
Lineage: Bacteria
Description: partial 16S ribosomal RNA
Rfam family: Bacterial small subunit ribosomal RNA
Source: RNAcentral
CCCUCUAAGGGGACUGCCCCGGACAACGGGGAGGAAGGUGGGGAUGACGUCAAGUCCGCAUGCUCCUUACGUCUAGGGCUACACACGUCCUACAAUGGGGUCGACAGUGGGAUGCAAAGCCGCGAGGUGGAGCCAAUCCCCAAACGGACCUCUCAGUUCGGAUAGUAGUCUGCAACUCGACUACUUGAAGUCGGAAUCGCUAGUAAUGGCGGAUCAGCAUGCCGCCGUGAAUACGUUCCCGGGUCUU